GACGAACGCUGGCGGCGUGCUUAACACAUGCAAGUCGAACGAAAAGAGGGAAAGAGCUUGCUCUUUCCGGAAUUGAGUGGCAAACGGGUGAGUAACACGUAAACAACCUGCCUUCAGGAUGGGGACAACAGACGGAAACGACUGCUAAUACCGAAUAAGUUCCAAGAGCCGCAUGGCCCAUGGAAGAAAAGGUGGCCUCUACCUGUAAGCUAUCGCCUGAAGAGGGGUUUGCGUCUGAUUAGCUGGUUGGAGGGGUAACGGCCCACCAAGGCGACGAUCAGUAGCCGGUCUGAGAGGAUGAACGGCCACACCGGAACUGAGACACGGUCCAGACUCCUACGGGAGGCAGCAGUGGGGAAUCUUCCGCAAUAGGCGAAAGCCUGACGGAGCAACGCCGCGUGAGUGAUGACGGCCUUCGGGUUGUAAAACUCUGUGAUCCGGGACGAAAAGGCAGAGUGCGAAGAACAAACUGCAUUGACGGUACCGGAAAAGCAAGCCACGGCUAACUACGUG
RNAcentral lists this ribosomal RNA (513 nucleotides) under uncultured bacterium. Its description in RNAcentral is "partial 16S ribosomal RNA". It matches the Rfam family "Bacterial small subunit ribosomal RNA", at positions 28 to 507 of the family's 1533-position model. The record is from RNAcentral.